This 1214-nucleotide long non-coding RNA is filed under the name Olea europaea (common olive). Its description in RNAcentral is "long non-coding RNA (OEUR_LNC001231)". The record is from RNAcentral. Lineage: Eukaryota; Viridiplantae; Streptophyta; Magnoliopsida; Lamiales; Oleaceae.
UUUCAUGUUAUACAACUUUUCACCAAUACUCGACUAAAAAAAAAGAUGAUCAUCUUAUUAGUAUUGUCGCUAUGUCAUGUUUAACGUUAUCGUAAUAUUAUUAAAUUCAUGAUGAAAAAUCGUACUUUGAUUAAAUUAUGUCCGUACUAAACAAAAUUAGUGGCGCCGGCCUGCUUGUUGGGCCAAGUCUUUUAAUCAUAGUCAAUAAAUUGAAAAAUAACAAAAUAAUAAAUUCAGUUUUCAGAUCUGACACUCCGCUGCUGUUCAAGAACUAAGAAUCAUUUGAAACAGGUCGAUCUCUAUCUUCUGGACGGUUUUGCUUCGAUUUCGAUUAAAAUGCACACUGCUAAGUAAUUCGAUAUAAACCAACAAUUUAAACAUCAAACCAUAAAAUGAAUAAUGUAACGAUAAAUAAAAUACAAAAGUAUGUAUGUCACAUGGCUAAGCUAUAAAAUAAACUAAUCAAUACAUAAUUCUCAAUCUAGACUCACCAUCAAUUCCCAACCCCGCACCCCGCCCCCCCAACUCACACCCCAUAUAAAAAAUAAAAAUAAAAAUAAAAAAAAGGAGGAAAGAAAGAAAGAAAAAAAGGAAAGAAAGAAAGAAAAACACCUCACAUAUAAAUCCUAGUUCAUAUGGAAUAGUCAAUGAAUCACCAAGAAUCUAAAAACCAUCAUGUAUGAAUACUCCCCCCCCCCCCCCCCCCCCCCCCCCCCCCCCCCCAAAAAAAAAAAAAAAAAAGAGGAAAGAAAGAAAGAAAGAAAAACACCUCACAUAUAAAUCCUAGUUCAUAUGGUAUAGUCAAUGAAUCACCAAGAAUCUAAAAACCAUCAUGUAUGAAUAAUCGAUCUAGUUUUUGAUGAGGGCCAAGAGAGACAGAACCAAUGAAGAACCCACGACAGCAGCAGAAACUGGCAAGGAGUAUCCUGCACCGUUGACAGGCGACGGCGCCGGAGCCAUUCCGAACUCAUCCUGAGCCAUUGUAGCAGACAGAAUAGCCAUGACGGCCACAAGCAUAAACACAGCUCUCAUCAGUGCCAUAGCAAUUGAUUUGUAUUUAAAAAACAGUUGCAGCCUUAAGUGGUAAGGAAAGAUGGGAAGACGAAUACCAGAAACAAGAAAUGAAGAGGAAAGUCUGCGUUUCAGUGUGUGUGUUCUGUUGGGGUUUGAGGGGGUUUAAAUAUAGGCAGAGGAGAAGGCAUGGCGUGUGGGCC